Molecule: ribosomal RNA, 253 nt
Filed under: uncultured bacterium
Lineage: Bacteria
Description: partial 16S ribosomal RNA
Rfam family: Bacterial small subunit ribosomal RNA
Source: RNAcentral
GACGUAGGGGGCGAGCGUUGUCCGGAUUCAUUGGGCGUAAAGCGCGCGUAGGCGGCCCGAUAAGUCGGAUGUGAAAUCUCACGGCUCAACCGUGGAACUGCAUUCGAUACUGUCGGGCUAGAGGCAGGUAGGGGAGAUCGGAAUUCCCGGUGUAGCGGUGAAAUGCGCAGAUAUCGGGAGGAACACCGGUGGCGAAGGCGGAUCUCUGGGCCUGUCCUGACGCUCAGGCGCGAAAGCUAGGGGAGCGAACAGG